This 421-nucleotide long non-coding RNA is filed under the name Salvia miltiorrhiza (redroot sage). Its description in RNAcentral is "long non-coding RNA (SMIL_LNC000252)". The record is from RNAcentral. Lineage: Eukaryota; Viridiplantae; Streptophyta; Magnoliopsida; Lamiales; Lamiaceae.
GGUUGGGUUACCUCCCAACAAGUGCUUAAUUUAACGUCUAGAGCUCGACGAUACCUCAUGACUCAUCCUAUCCCCACACGCUGGAAAACAAAGAGGGGCAUCAAAAGAAGGCAAACCUCUAAAUCCCAAAACACCUCUGAAAAGGUAAGCCAAGCAAUCACACAAGCAACGAUAAAGCAAUCGGGAUCAUUAUGCUUCAAAGAUAUCUCCAAGAACUUGACUAUCUUUUCAUCUGAAUUUGGCUUGGCCAAGCAGCGGGGGAUUGGAGCAGCAAGCUUGUACUCGGGCCUGGGAGGAGCAGGAAUAGAAACAUGCUCUAUAGCAGCAGAAAUAUGAGGGAUGCUAAAAUCCUCCUUAGGAGUAGGGGGCUCAUCAGCUGCUAUUUUCUCAAUCUCCUCAUCUUUCUCCUCGGCAUCCUGCA